GAACACGUUCUUGGAUUUCUCAUGCUAGGCCUAAGGAGCAGACUGCUUAUAUUCAAGAAUGAUUUGGAGGGGAUAAAGUGUGCAAGAUUUUGAAUUCUUGCCAUAAGUCCCUGGCAGACAGCCAGGCAGCCUCAGAGGAAUAAGGCUAAUGAAGGGAGGGUAAAGAAGAUCCGGGAGUGUGGCUGGUAAUGCAGUAUUCAUUUAAUUGGGAGCAGACGGGCAGGAGAGGAUGCAGGAGACUGUACAAAGUUCAAGAAACGAUAUGCUUUAAUCAAGGUAAAAUGGAUGGAACAUCAGACAGCUCAUUAUAGAGACAAGUAAGCUCCAGUUCCAAAGUUGGUUGACAGAACAAGUCAUGACCUUGUGUGGAGGAAAAUGAGAUCCCGAGUGAAGUCUACAAUGUCAUUGACUCUGAAGAAGGACUCAGAGACCCAUUGGUGUUUAAUGACCCUUACUGGCCUAUGCAAUGGAAACUGGUAUGAUCUUCAGAAAUAGAUGGUUCUUUGGCAGUGUUAAGAAAUAUUAUUUUUGUCAUGUUCUAAUGCAGUAGAUAGGCACUUUUAUGCACUGCCUGCUUUUAUCUAUUGGUUUUGCAGAGAGAGACUUAGCAAACUUUUGAUGAAAUAUUACUGCCAUCUUAUUAAUGAACACUAAUCCUUUUAAUUUGAUUACAUCCUUAGGGUUUGAUUUAAUCUAUAAAAGACACCAGUAAAAACCCCAAGAUAUUUAAAUUUGGUGUGUGUAAACAGACUCAUUACAUAGAAAUGUUGUUGCCAUUCAGGCUUGAAGUUUUUGUUCUUGCAUAACUUAGAAUAUAUUCUAUAUUACAUCAAUACUGAGAGAACUUGUCUUUAUGGAUUAAGUGGAUGUUAGAACAUUGCCCAACAGACUUUUUUUCAUAAUGCUUAUUUUGUUGGACCUUUUAGUAUCACAUUGCCCUCCCAUUUAUAUAAGACGGUAAUAAUGAAAAGGUUUGAGAAAAGCACCCUUAAUUUUGAAUGCAAAUAAGUUUAAAAAAAUGAUGUACAUACCAUGGAAAAUUUUAUAAGGAAACAUUUAAAAUGUGAAGAUAACUUGGUGAUAAUAUUGGAGAGAAAUUACAACCUUAUUAUAUGCAUAAUUAGUUCUUCAUAGGUCUGCAGAUUAUAUUGUGUUGUAGAGGGUCCAAUGUUGCAAAAUGAGGAAAAGGUUAGGUGCAUUUUAUCAUUUUAAGGGCCAUGAUGAGAUAAAACAUGGUAAGCUGUUGUGCUGGCUCUUUUUAUGUUGAUCAUUGGCAGUUACCAAGCUGACUAUCUGACAUGAGCUGAAAACCUAUGUUGAAAAAAUGUCCAGUUCCAUUUUAUGUAGCUUCAACUCAUCUUUAAAAAAUGAAGUGAUUUAGAACACAUGUCACGCACUCCUGGGCCAGCCAGCUUCCCUUUCUCUCCUCGUAUGUAAUAUCUUUUUUUCCCCUUUCUAGCAAGUACUUUCAAAAG
Molecule: long non-coding RNA, 1475 nt
Organism: Homo sapiens (human)
Lineage: Eukaryota; Metazoa; Chordata; Mammalia; Primates; Hominidae
Source: Ensembl